CUGAAAACGAAGAUUCAUCACCUCUUCUCUAUUCUCAUCAUCAACAAAAUCCAUCAGCAGAAUCAGUUCUUGAGAUUUGUUGUGAAUUGAUGAAGAAUAGUCAAUGAGGAUCACCAACAAUAUUCGAGAGUAAUUUUGUGUUGUCUAAAGCAAUUAGUAAUUGUACCGAAACUCAAGAUUAUAUCUCUUCGUUGGUAUAUGCUGUUAAUUCCAGAAAUUUGUAUAAAUGGGUGUGUAUACUUAUCUCAGCAAUGGAUUUACUUACUUGAGUAAGUAAAAGAAGUUUUACCUCUGGUACUUGGACUUGGGGGACUGAUGCUCAACAGGACAUUGCUGCCGAAGCAGUAAAGAAAGGCGUCGUGCUACUAAGAAGCCUUAAUUUAUGUUAAUCGUUGGUGCUAAUUUGGAGGUGAUCUAGAAGAAAAGAACCGACAACUAAGAAGUCAGAGUGCAGAUUGUGAGGCCGCUAUUCGACAAGGAUGUACAUGAGAUCUUCAAGAUGAGUCUUCAUGAUAAACAAGUCAUGAUGUUUUCAGCCACACUCAGCAAGGAAAUUUGUCCAGUGGGCUGGAAAUUCGUGCAAGAUGUAGUGUCCUGUGGCCAGUACCCCUCAAUUUCUGAAGUUUCCUUUUGAGACCAGUUGUUCGUAGUAAAUUAUAUCGGAAGACAGGAAAGGUCUCGAAUAUCUUUAGCAGUGCACUCUACUUCAUGCAUUGUAUUCUGGGUAGCUUCUCGAAUGGUGCUGAGUGUAAGUUGGUGGUGAUGUGCUUUGUUGUUUCAAGGUCAAUGACUCUGUGGUGCUGUAGCAGAGGCAGGGGGACAUGAUGUUGCCGGCGGUUGUUAGUGGACUCUACUUCAUGAUUAUGCAUUUAUAAAAAAAAAUACUUUUAUCAUGCAAGGAUCAGAUGCUAUUAGUUGCUAGCAAUCCAUUAUAAGGAUUCUUGUAGAGCAGACAGGACAAGUGAGAUGUGUUUUCUAC
This is a long non-coding RNA of Papaver somniferum (opium poppy), 979 nucleotides long. RefSeq lists it as uncharacterized. NCBI's taxonomy places the organism in Eukaryota, Viridiplantae, Streptophyta, Magnoliopsida, Ranunculales, Papaveraceae. The transcript is spliced from 5 exons. The record is from RefSeq and is a predicted model, not a curated record.